This 483-nucleotide ribosomal RNA is filed under the name uncultured bacterium. RNAcentral describes it as "partial 16S ribosomal RNA". It matches the Rfam family "Bacterial small subunit ribosomal RNA", at positions 28 to 507 of the family's 1533-position model. The record is from RNAcentral.
GACGAACGCUGGCGGCGUGCUUAACACAUGCAAGUCGUACGCUGAAGCUCAGCUUUUGUUGGGUGGAUGAGUGGCGAACGGGUGAGUAACACGUGAGUAACCUGCCUCCUUCUUUGGGAUAACGCCCGGAAACGGGUGCUAAUACUGGAUAUUCACUGGUCUUCGCAUGGGGGUUGGUGGAAAGGGUUUUUCUGGUGGGGGAUGGGCUCGCGGCCUAUCAGCUUGUUGGUGGGGUGAUGGCCUACCAAGGCUUUGACGGGUAGCCGGCCUGAGAGGGUGACCGGUCACAUUGGGACUGAGAUACGGCCCAGACUCCUACGGGAGGCAGCAGUGGGGAAUAUUGCACAAUGGGCGCAAGCCUGAUGCAGCGACGCCGCGUGAGGGAUGGAGGCCUUCGGGUUGUGAACCUCUUUCGCUCAUGGUCAAGCCGCAACAAUGGUUGUGGUGAGGGUAGUGGGUAAAGAAGCGCCGGCUAACUACGUG